UUCUGGUUUAAGUGUCAGAUUCAGUUGCACCUCGAUUCACAAUUCAGAAUUCAUGCUGUAUCCCAGGAUCAAUCCUUCGUUGCUACUUCUUCUGGAGCCAUUGGGCAGAGAAGGGGUGCAGUUGGAGCAUACCGAUUAGAACACGUGGCUGGUGCGUGAACCCUGAAAUGAAGAGUGAAUGAAGGCAGGAAUUACUGGAAGGGAGGUCAGGGAAGAAUAUUUUCAGGAGGAUGCUGACCCACCAGGAGGCCAUAAGGAAAUAGUUUCGUUAUCCCUUGGUGCCAGA
This is a long non-coding RNA of Balaenoptera acutorostrata (minke whale), 286 nucleotides long. RefSeq lists it as uncharacterized. NCBI's taxonomy places the organism in Eukaryota, Metazoa, Chordata, Mammalia, Artiodactyla, Balaenopteridae. The transcript has 4 exons. The record is from RefSeq and is a predicted model, not a curated record.